RNAcentral lists this ribosomal RNA (501 nucleotides) under Pseudomonas sp. WH375. RNAcentral describes it as "bacterial SSU rRNA". It matches the Rfam family "Bacterial small subunit ribosomal RNA", at positions 102 to 599 of the family's 1533-position model. Lineage: Bacteria; Pseudomonadati; Pseudomonadota; Gammaproteobacteria; Pseudomonadales; Pseudomonadaceae. The record is from RNAcentral.
ACGGGUGAGUAAUGCCUAGGAAUCUGCCUGGUAGUGGGGGAUAACGUCCGGAAACGGGCGCUAAUACCGCAUACGUCCUACGGGAGAAAGCAGGGGACCUUCGGGCCUUGCGCUAUCAGAUGAGCCUAGGUCGGAUUAGCUAGUUGGUGAGGUAAUGGCUCACCAAGGCGACGAUCCGUAACUGGUCUGAGAGGAUGAUCAGUCACACUGGAACUGAGACACGGUCCAGACUCCUACGGGAGGCAGCAGUGGGGAAUAUUGGACAAUGGGCGAAAGCCUGAUCCAGCCAUGCCGCGUGUGUGAAGAAGGUCUUCGGAUUGUAAAGCACUUUAAGUUGGGAGGAAGGGCAGUAAGUUAAUACCUUGCUGUUUUGACGUUACCGACAGAAUAAGCACCGGCUAACUUCGUGCCAGCAGCCGCGGUAAUACGAAGGGUGCAAGCGUUAAUCGGAAUUACUGGGCGUAAAGCGCGCGUAGGUGGUUCGUUAAGUUGGAUGUGAAA